AACCUAAAUUAAAAAGAAGAACGGCAGAAUCCCACCUUUCUAAUCUCCAAGCACUCAUCUCCCCUUUACCCGAUCUCACUGGUUUUCAACCAAAAAAGAGAAUAACGAAGGAGAGGAAUUUGAGGGAGAGUCUAAAGAGUGGGGAACGAGAUAGAAAAAGCAGAGAAUAGAAGGGAGGAACGAACAGAGAGAGACGGGAGAAACAACAGAACAGGGGAUCGGUGAAGAAGUAUGAAAAGAUGGAAAUCGGCCGCUGCUUUACCCUUCUCCUCUAUACCAUCCUUUCUUCUAGUCUAGCCGUAACCACCACAUGUACACCCUCUAGACUCCAUAGAAAUAGCACCCUUUUAACACUUGAAAUCAGGCCCAAAACCAGCUGUAUUGACCCCAUAAAUCAGCUGUAAAACCAGCCUGUCAUAGCUAAUCAAAAAUAGCUCCCCGCUUUAGCUCCGAAACACCAUUUCUCUUUACCAAUAAGUGCAGCCAUGAAACCAGAUGAAAUGCCAUUUUUAUUCCUCCUUUUCAACACCCAAAAACCAACUCAAGUACAGUCCCAAAAUUAGCAACAACGAGCUGAAAAACAGCCCAAUUACCUAACACAAAUCAACCACAAACGUGCUGAAAUCAGUGCAAAACAGUUGCAAAAAUCUGCCCGAAACAACACCUGAAUACACAAGUUCUGUUCGAGCUCGAGUUCAUCUCCGGUGGUCGAUUUCGGUCGAGAGCCGUCUCUGUAAUUUCAACUCAGUCUAUUUAUACCAAAGACUACGUACAGGUUUUAGCGUAGGUGACCCACCUUAGCCUCGUCACUACUUUGUUGAGGUUGGGAUCGGCACUUACCAGUACAUGGAGUCGGUUGUGCUGAUACUGCACUCUGCACACUGUGUAGAUUUUUGAGACGGUCCCAACGGAGGUUACUAGCGAGCUCGGUUCGGACAUUUACGGAGACUUGAGGUACGACUGUUCAGCUCCUGCAGCUCCUAGAGUCUCCAUCCUCUUUUCUUUUAGCUGUACAACUUCAUUCAGACAACUUUGUACUUAUUUCAAACCUUUAUGUGUAUUACUUUAAAAGCUCGUGCACUUGUGACACCAGGUUCAGUGAAUUGUAAUAGACGUUGGUUGUUUAGCUUCCACGUUUAUACUUAGAACUUAUCUGUUAUUUCAGUUCAUUAUUAUUGUUAUCGUUUAA
Nicotiana tabacum (common tobacco) is the source of this 1189-nucleotide long non-coding RNA. RefSeq lists it as uncharacterized. The record is from RefSeq and is a predicted model, not a curated record. Lineage: Eukaryota; Viridiplantae; Streptophyta; Magnoliopsida; Solanales; Solanaceae.